Molecule: ribosomal RNA, 323 nt
Filed under: Bacillus sp. (in: firmicutes)
Lineage: Bacteria; Bacillati; Bacillota; Bacilli; Caryophanales; Bacillaceae
Description: bacterial SSU rRNA
Rfam family: Bacterial small subunit ribosomal RNA
Source: RNAcentral
CUGAAGGAGCACCGCCGCCUGAUAGAAGAAGGCCUUCGGGUUGUAAAAGUACGUUCAUAGGGAAGAACAACUGUUAGUUGAAUAACCUGGCACCUUGACGGUACUUACCCAGAAAGCCCCGGCUAACUACGUGCCAGCAGCCGCGGUAAUACGUAGGUGGCAAGCGUUAUUCGGAAUUAUUGGGCGUAAAGCGCGCGCAGGUGGUUUGUUAAGUCAGAUGUGAAAUCCCACGGCUCAACCGUGGAGGGUCAUUGGAAACUGGCAGACUUGAGUGCAGAAGAGGAAAGUGGAAUUCCCAUGUGUAGCGGUGAAAUGCGUAGAGU